This is a long non-coding RNA of Ornithorhynchus anatinus (platypus), 1329 nucleotides long. RefSeq lists it as uncharacterized. The transcript is spliced from 3 exons. NCBI's taxonomy places the organism in Eukaryota, Metazoa, Chordata, Mammalia, Monotremata, Ornithorhynchidae. The record is from RefSeq and is a predicted model, not a curated record.
ACGGGACUAGGAUUCCGACAUCAUGGGGCCAAGAGAAAUUCGCUUCUCAGAGUCUCUGGACUCCAGAGAUGGCUGGAAUGCACUGAGGCAGGCAUAAAGUCUGGGGUUUAGUCUGUUUGCAACUAGAAAGCCACACGGCUAGAGGCCAGCAGGGAUCAAAGUGGGGGGUUGCCUGUAGGCAAGUGACUGCCUGGAUCAGAUGGCCUGACAGAGUGGAAGGAUGUGGAAUCCAGAAAAACCCCGAGAAAAGGCUCGGAUUCAAGAGCACAAGACAAGCAGACAAGACGAAACCCCAGAAUGACCCUCCAAGAAGGCUCAAUUCUCCACAAGGAAGAUCAAGAAACACCACACUCUCUCCUCAGCCCGAUACGAACAAUCCCAGCCCAUAGGCCGGAGCCACUUCCCCUCUCAUCCGGGGGCCUCUUUCCUCCAGCUGAAGGCCGCGGCUACUCACCCGUCGAGUAGGGGAGCACUGGUGGGGCUCACCUUCUUCUGCUCCCGCCCAGGAUGCCCCUUCUUCUUAGAUUUUGGUGCCAUUUCUGUGGAGAAGAAGAAAAGAGGGUUCCCACCCUGCCACUGCUGGACGCUCUAUUAGAGAUUGAUGGGAAAACGGUUCUACUCUCCAUUCUCCGCUUCGACGGGCAGGAGAAAGACUGGACUCUGGAGAUUUCUUUGCCAGAAACCCGCCCGAUGCCAAGGAAGAUGGCGGCUCCCCAAACGGUGUGGGAAGAGAAGGGCCCCAAAGCAGUGCUGUCAGCUGGCCUAUUGGGCACCAGGGUCAGAGGAAUCUAUGAUGUUCUAAAACUUGCCUUUCUGGAGAGAGGCAUAUCUUCUACACUAACACACGAUAAAGGCCAACAUAUCCUCCAGCUACUGCUUUUUAUACAGAGUCCAUCCGUGGGAAUCUCUUUGGAACAAGCCCAUUCCCCCCUCCGGAGCUGUGGUGGGAAUACGCUAGUCCAAAGGCAAAGGGUAACCAAAGGCGGGUUCUUAAAAUAGCCUGCGUCCCAGAAGGAGCACGGCCGGGAAACAACCGCUGUGGCUUGGGCUUUCAGAAACCCAGGUGAGGAGCCGGCCUGCUAACCGAGAGGAGGUGGCGCAAAAGCUUAGGCAGACGCAGCACCGACGCUGCGUAAUUCACAGGCCAAGCAACCGGGAAAAACAACAAGUUCCUCAUCGAAACGGCCACUCGGCUCAAGUUGGGUUCUGUAACACGAGACGCAGGCAGAGCCGCCAACUUACUGCUGCUCCGAGAACCCAAGGAAUCAGGAAACGCCAGAGUUUGGUGUUGGGAGUCCGGAGCCCGAAACAUAAACAUGGUUCUAUGCA